This 253-nucleotide ribosomal RNA is filed under the name uncultured bacterium. Its description in RNAcentral is "partial 16S ribosomal RNA". It matches the Rfam family "Archaeal small subunit ribosomal RNA", at positions 474 to 727 of the family's 1478-position model. The record is from RNAcentral.
UACCAGCACCCCGAGUGGUCGGGACGAUUAUUGGGCCUAAAGCAUCCGUAGCCGGCCCUACAAGUCCUCCGUUAAAUCCAGCUGCUUAACAGAUGGGCUGCGGAGGAUACUAUAAGACUAGGAGGCAGGAGAGGCAAGCGGUACUCAGUGGGUAGGGGUAAAAUCCGUUGAUCCAUUGAAGACCACCAGUGGCGAAGGCGGCUUGCCAGAAUGCGCUCGACGGUGAGGGAUGAAAGCUGGGGGAGCAAACCGG